RNAcentral lists this ribosomal RNA (253 nucleotides) under uncultured bacterium. RNAcentral describes it as "partial 16S ribosomal RNA". It matches the Rfam family "Bacterial small subunit ribosomal RNA", at positions 524 to 776 of the family's 1533-position model. The record is from RNAcentral.
UACGUAGGGUGCAGGCGUUAAUCGGAAUUACUGGGCGUAAAGCGCGCGCAGGCGGCGGUGCUGGCCCGGCGUGAAAGCCCCCGGCUCAACCGGGGAGAGUCGUCGGGGACCGCACCGCUUGAGGGCGGUAGGGGCUGGUGGAAUGCCUGGUGUAGUGGUGAAAUGCGUAGAGAUCAGGCAGAACACCUGGGGCGAAGGCGGCCAGCUGGGCCGUCCCUGACGCUGAGGCGCGAAGGCGUGGGGAGCGAACGGG